This is a long non-coding RNA of Vigna angularis (adzuki bean), 1336 nucleotides long. RefSeq lists it as uncharacterized. The transcript is spliced from 2 exons. NCBI's taxonomy places the organism in Eukaryota, Viridiplantae, Streptophyta, Magnoliopsida, Fabales, Fabaceae. The record is from RefSeq and is a predicted model, not a curated record.
CUUCUUUUCUUCCAUUUCAUCCUCUCCAAGAAUUUCUCACUCUUCCUUGCGUAGCCGACAGAGUACUGAAGAAUCUGUAAAGCUCAGGAGGGAUAGCGCCAUGAUUUUUCACAUCAUCGUGUUCUUUGGCGCUGUCUAUCCUGAGUUUCAUGGCUUCUUCUUACUGUAUAUACAUCUUCAAAGAUGCAUGUUCUUGCAAGAGAAGACUCACUGAAAACUAUUCUCUAUAUAUGCUUCUUUCUUCCUCACUCUCUUUCUGAAUGUUACUUGAUUUGUAGGUUCUGAUCAUGGCGGUUCUGAAGUCAAGAUCUUCAAAGAUAUGAUGACGAUUGGGAGUAUGUGCUUUUUUCAAGGAAAAAGAAGGGCUUCUGCCAAAUGGACAUCAAAAUCUGCAUAUUGGCCUGGAGAUCUAUCAAGUGAUGCAAAUUCUUUUGAGAAAUUGUAUGCUACCCUUGAAAAUUUAAGGGAUUUUGGAUUGUUAUUGAGAAAAAUGUUUUCUUUUUCCUUUUCUUCUCUACCUCUCUCUCUCUAUAUAUAUAUCUCUUUGCUGCUGUGCCAACUUAUUUAAUUAUUCAUCUGUAACAAAAUCCUUCAAUUUCUUUAAGGUUUAGUUAGAGCGUUUCAAACUUCUCUUGAUACACUGUGGGAAAAACUUGCAGACAAUACCAUCACAGGAUUCAAAACAUUGGGACAUUGGGAUAUUGCAGUCAAAAUUAUAAUUGCAGAUAAUAUUUAAAAAUGUUGAAUAUUAUAACAAACUAUUUUUAUUUUUUCCUGAUUCUAUAUUUAUAUCAUAGUUUCACAGUACUCCUACUAUGCAGUAAUACAGUAAUAAUAAUAAUAAUAAUAAUAAUAAUAAUAAUAUAUUAGCUUGGAUGGCAUUAAUUGUAUGAGGCCUGUUCAGUGAUCUAGAAUUUGUAGGCUUUUCUUCAGAAGGACCUAUUCUGCUACAAAGUUCGUAACGCAUAUUUUGAAGGCAGUUACUCUCUGAAGCUUGACCUGUUGACUGAUAAGUAUUAUACACAAGAAAGAUACGAGCUGUUCUGAACAGCAGAGAAGAAGGGUCUGAAUUAUUGCUUUUGAAUUAUUUUAUUUAUAUUUUUCCUGUGAAAAGGGUUAUUGAAGAGUAAUGAGUUAGUUCGAUUUUUAAUGGCGAGUUCUGAGGGUAGCAGUCUUUCUCUUUCUGGCCUAAAGCCAAACCCUAGUAUGUGUUUUUUUUUUUGUUUUUUUUUUUACCUUGGAACUAGAAAGCUAUGUGUCUAGGGUUUCUAUGAAAUUCAACUGCAACUUCUGCACAAACUUUUGCAUCAAUUAUAAAUUACACUGUUGAUGUUGA